This 288-nucleotide ribosomal RNA is filed under the name uncultured bacterium. RNAcentral describes it as "partial 16S ribosomal RNA". It matches the Rfam family "Bacterial small subunit ribosomal RNA", at positions 335 to 614 of the family's 1533-position model. The record is from RNAcentral.
ACAGCCUACGGGGGGCAGCAGUAGGGAAUUUUCGGCAAUGGGGGGAACCCUGACCGAGCAACGCCGCGUGAAGGAAGAAGGAAUUCGUUCUGUAAACUUCUGUUAUAAAGGAAGAAAGACGGAUGGAGGAAAUGACAUCCGAGUGACGGUAAUUUAUGAGAAAGCCACGGCUAACUACGUGCCAGCAGCCGCGGUAAUACGUAGGUGGCAAGCGUUUUCCGGAAUUAUUGGGCGUAAAGAGGGAGCAGACGGCAGCAAAGGUCUGUGGUGAAAGCCUGAAGCUUAGCU